CUCUCUCUCUCUCUCUCUCUCUCUCUCUCUCUCUGUGUGACUAUCAUAAAUUAAAAAAAUUAAAAAAAAAAAAGAAAAUGUUUUUCUUAAAAAACAUGUUUUUCAGGACGCAUGGGUGACUCAGUGGUUGUGUCUGUCUUCAUCCCAGGGUGUGAUCCUAGAGUCCUGGGAUCGAGUCCCACAUUGGGCUCCCUGCAUGGAGCCUGCUUCUCCCUCUGCCUGUGUCUCUGCCUCUCUCUCACUCUCUCUGUCUCUCAUGAAUAAAUAAUAAAAUCUUUAAAAAAAAAAACAAACAAACCUGGUUUUCUUUCUGUAAUCUUCCUCAGAUAUAUUUGGGAGGGGAAGGAGGAUUAUAUUAAGUACAAUACAGAUUGCAGCCUGAAUCAGUAUAAAUUGCAGCAAUUUUUCCAGAGAGCUCUUCUCCCUCUCAGCUUGGCCUUGAGCCUCUGCUCACAUUCCUAUAAUUCCUCAUUAAAUGUUGCUCUCUGACAGGAAGAGUGAUUCCCUUAAAAUCCCCAAACCAUACUUUGGACAUAUGACCUUACCUUUACACCUUUACUAAAGGAUUGUAAAUGACAAAGUAAAAUUUUAGAACCCAAGAGAACUAAAACCAUAUGCUACAUAUGACUUUCUAAAGUCCUAGACAAAGAACAAAACAUUAAACAUAUGGGGACUGGGAGUUAGUACCCUUCAUAGACACAGAACAGUAUCUGGUUUUCCUAUUGAAAGCUUACUUCUAUGCUACUUCUCAAUGAAGAAUUUUUCUUUAUUUAUUAAAAAUAUUCAUUUGUGUAUUUUAAAGAGAGAGAGAGAGAGAGCACAGGGGGAGGAGCAGAGGGAGAGGGAGAAAGAGUCUCAAGCAGGUUCUACACCCAGCCCAAAGCCUGACAUGGGGCUUGAUCUCAGGACCUGAGAUCAUAACCUGAGCCAAAAAUCAAGAGUUGGUCGCUUAACUGACAGCCACCCAGGCGACCCUGAAGGGGUUUUCUUUAAUCCCUAAUGUAAAAAAAACUCCAUUUCGGGGAAUUCUAACCUCAAAGAAAUUUAUUUCACCCUAGGAUCUACAGCCCACCCACCGCCAAAUCCCAACCCAUCCAUCCCCAAAAAGGCAGUUCACAGGACACAAUUACAAACAUUUCCCUGAGUCUGAAUUUUUCAGUGAGAGGCAAUUAAGCAAAACUAUCUUGUUUGACACAUCACACAUCAAGUUGGCCCAAAGUUUCUAUACCUGUGGGAAAUGAAAUGUACAUCUUCAUUUCUCCUCUAGUUUUCUGGUAACUUAUUGGACCAAACACACACACACACCCCAAGGACAAAUAUUUCUCAGCUCUGACACAGUGCAAGCACAAAUAAAGGAAAAGGAACAUUUUCCUAAAUAUAGCUAAAUCCACACAGGUUCCAUUGCUCUUAAUAGAGGUGGUUCUGCAUGUGAUUAUGCAGAGAGAAGUGGUUUUCCCAUUGUGCAUCCUCAGGGUUUCAGACUUUCCAACUAGAGCAUUUGAAAUAAUAAAAUUAAUCUAUUGCUGAUGGAUACUUUUCAGUGACACAAAAGAUCUGGCAGUAACUUUGAAAUUACAUCUUUACAAUCAUAGGUCAGAGAAAAUUAUCACUAUUUUUUCUUUGUUGCUUAUACUUUGGUGUCAUGUAGAAACCAUUGCCUAACCCAAGGUCAUGAAGAUUUAUGCCUAUGUUCUCUUCUAUGAUUUUUAUAGUUUUACCUCAUAUUUAGGAGUUUGGUCAAUUUUGAGUUAAUUUUUGUAUAUUGAUAUGAGAUAGGGCUUUAAAUUCAUUCUUUUACAUGUGGAUAAUCAUUUUCCCCAGCACCAGUUAUUGAAAAUACUGUCCUUUCCCCAUUGAAUUAUUCAACACCCUUGUCAAAAAUCAAUUAACUGUUAGGGUUUAGUUCUGGACUCUCAGUUCCAUUCCAUUGAUCUAUAGGUCUAUCCUUAUUCCAGUACCAGUAUUUUUCUUCUCAGUAAUACACACACACAUUCACAAAUAAGUGUAUAUUUAUAUAAACAUACAUAAUUUCUUUUAAUGAGUGACUUCUAAUUAACGUCAUAAAUUCAAAAAUGUGUGUAUGUAUGUAUGUACCUAUUUGUACAAAGCUUGGGGACUUAAUAAAAUAACUUUUUUUUUAAUAAAAUAACUUUUAAUGCUCUUUCAACUCUGUUAGGUAAAAUACGACUCUAACAAUUUUGUGUAUGGUUUUAGAUUAACAGGAUUCCAUCUGCUGCCAGAUGUACUUGUUCAGUAACAAGUACCAAAACUGUAUUCUCACUACAUUUGACCAUUGAUUUUGCAAUUGGUGCUCAUGGGUUUAAAGUUUAUUGUGAAGGUAAGAGAUGGUAAUGUGAAAGGACCAUUGCCCAGUUUAAUGUAGUUAAACCAAAAUUCUCCAGGGUGGAAAUGGAAGAAGAACCAUCAGGAAGGAAGAUACAGUUCAUCUUCUUAUCUUAAAUCUUACCCUAAGAUUCACCUUCUUAUUAAUUAUUAAUAUAUAAUAAGAUGUUAGAAUUAGUGGGCUUUAAUGUUUUAUCACAGUGUGCCUAAACAGAGGAAAAUCUUUCUUAGGAGAUGAUACUAUGAAAUCACUAUAGACCUGGAGAUUAACAAAAGGAAAUGAAAUGUGAGAGGUAACAACAUGAAACAAGGCCUGAUUUGAUAUUCAGACUCCACCUUCCUCUGUGCUCUACCUCUCAGCCAGAAAAUAAACUAGUAAUCUGUCUUCUUUGCAAGUUUAGAACCAAGAGGGAAAAUGUCCAAUAAGAGACAAGAGUUGAUAUCUUCCAUUCCAAACCAGCCCUUUCAGUCCCACAGAGUCAUGAUCAUUUAACACAGAGAAGAAUAUUGAAAAGCUCUUGAGACAGGUUUUUAUUUGGAAGUUUGGUACAAAGUCAUAUAGCAUCAAAACAUGACCUAAAUUGAUUGAUUUAUAAUCUUUAUUUAUCCCACGUAAUGUGGGUACUCCUAUGUUUUACCAUGGAAAUAUUGUUUGAUAAUGGGGUGGUACCCUAGGUUGUGCUGAGGGUAUUAAAAACAUACAGAAUCUGCAUUCUUGUAUUUUUAAGAUGUGAAAAAAUUCUUAUGGCAAAAAUAACCUAUUCUGAGGAUUUCAGAUACAGAUCAUGGACUUGUAAUUUCUUCUCUAUGUGAUUUGACAAUAAAUUUUUCAGUUUAUUCUUCAUUUCAAGAAAAGCCCCUUCCUUACCCAUAGGAAUAUCAUACCAGAUUUCAACUCACCUCCCCAGGACUAUAUUACCAGAAUGUAUCACAUCAGAACUGAUAUCGUUUUAAGAAACACACAAAUAUAACAGAAGGGUGGUUAUUUUCUAAACCACAUAAUUCAAAACAUGAGGGCUUUUUUUUUUUUUGGCUUAAAUAACACAAUUUAAUAUUCUCACAUUUGUGGCUAGAAUUCCCAAAUCAGGAUGUUAGCUGAUGGAGUUCCUGGCAAGAGCUCUGUCUCUGGCUUACAGAUGGUUGCCUUCUCACUGUGUCUUCACAUGGUGGAGAAACUCAUAGGUCUCUUCCUUUUCUUUUAAGGGCACCAGUCCUUUUGGAUUAAAGCCCCUCCCUUAUGACCUCACUUAACAUUUAUUAGCUUCUUACCCGCCCUCUAUCCAAAUAUAGUCACAGUGGGGUUAAGGGCUUCAACAAGUAAAUUUUUUCUUGAAUCCUGUACCUUUGUAGUAAGUUUGAAAUUGAGAAGCACGAGUUUUCCAACUUGGUUAUCAAUUUUCAGGAUUGCUCAUCUGGGUCUCUCAUUUCUAUAUGGAUUUUAGGAUCAGUUUAUCAAUCUCUACAAAAGCCAACUGUGCUUUAGUAGAGAUUACAUUGAAUGUGUGGAUCAGUUUGGGGAAUAUUGUCAUCUUAACAACAUUAAGUCUUACAAUCCAUGAACAUAGAUGCCUUUCUAUUUAUUUAAGUCUUCUUUAAUUUCUUUGAGUGAUGUAAAGUGUUGUGUUUGCAAGCCUUCCACUUCUUGUGUUAAAUUUGUAAGUAUUUUUUUGAUGUUAUACAUGGUAUUAUACAUGGGAUAAUUUUCUUAAUUGCAUUUUCAGAUUGUUCACUGUAACUGUAUAAAAAUAGUUAAUUUAAAAAUAAAUAAAAUAAAAAUAGUUAAUUUUUG
RNAcentral lists this long non-coding RNA (4132 nucleotides) under Canis lupus familiaris (dog). RNAcentral describes it as "lncRNA (ENSCAFG00845012520.1)". The record is from RNAcentral. Lineage: Eukaryota; Metazoa; Chordata; Mammalia; Carnivora; Canidae.